This 3378-nucleotide long non-coding RNA is filed under the name Citrus maxima (pomelo). Its description in RNAcentral is "long non-coding RNA (CMAX_LNC000585)". The record is from RNAcentral. Lineage: Eukaryota; Viridiplantae; Streptophyta; Magnoliopsida; Sapindales; Rutaceae.
UUUUUUCCCACAUUUCUCAAAUAUGUAUUUCAUCUAAAAUAAAUCUCCAAGGAAAUAAAAUGAAUAACCUUUAAUUUAACAAAUAUCUCAGUAUAAAUAAAUAUUUAAAAAUGUGCUGUAUUGAAAAACCAAAAGAAAACUCCCUACUCACUCUACUUCCUUAGAAUAUAUACAACCAACCAAAUAGCUAUCCUCAACAGAAAAUUAAAUUUGCUACACUCGGACUCAGUUUACUUACACGACACAUAUUUUCAUAGAAAGAAAUGAAAAAUCCUUUCUUUAUAAACAUAUUCACAGUAGACAAAGGAUCCUCUUUUUCCAUAUCUUGAGAACUUCAAAAUUCAUCCAUGUCUGCCGAAGUCUUGUCCUUCUCUUGGAAACAUAAAACAUAUUAGCUUGAGUGCAAGAUUAUUCCAUUUCCAUACCACCAUAACCAUCCUCUUAAAGCACACCAAAUUGGUUGUCAAAAAGUACCUCAAAAAUCACUAUAUAACUUAAAAAUUAACAAGUAAUCACAUAAAAUAAAAAAGGUUAAGAAAUGACGAAUUUUACAAACAUUUGAUUACGAUAUCGAAAAGAUCAGGUCUUGGAUUUGCAAGUCUCAUUUCAAUCAUCAACCACCAUUAAGAACCCCACAAUUCAAGCAGAACAUGCAAAACAAAAUGAUAAAAGUGGACGGCUAUACUUACCUAUAAAUACAAGUAGUAGGAGAUACCAAGCAAAAUCCAUACGGUGACAGCUUUAGGUUAAAGGCCCCUUUCAAAAAGUAAAGCAACAAAAACAUUCCCCUGGUUCUUGGUUGAUCAAUUGGUUGGUUUAUUCUUAUAUAGGAAAAAUAGGAACUUCCAUCAUUUGGAGCAAUUGGUUUCCCAACUUUACAAAUGCUUCAUUAUGUCAGAAACGAUUAUUUCCCAUAUGUAAAAUAGCAAAAUUUUUGUCGUAGUUUAAGGGAUUAAAUUUUUGGCUCAUUGAACGAACAAUUAAAACAACAUUCCAAGACUCCAACUAAAGAAAUAACUACAUUCCAUGCUCUGGUUUCAUUACCUUCAAUGUCUAUGAUAUUAAACUAAGCAUUAUAAAACAGAAUAAAGAAAAUGAUAUAAGAUAUAUUUGGGUCCAAAUUCAAUGUCACAACUCAUUCACCUAUAAUUAUUUUCAGAUAUUAAUUAUAUCCAGUUAAGCAACUGAGAUGGUAGCACAUUAAUGUUUGAACUUAAGUGAACGAGUAUCCAUCAAUUUACUAUUUCCUGAUUUCGUAGAUUUCCUUUGGUUGAGGAUUAUUUAUCAAUUACAGCAUGUAAUUAUUUGUGCUUUUUCCAUCAGGUGUGGCAUCCUAAUAGUUUCGGAUCACAGGGACAAUGAAUGCAGCAAUAGUUACAAAUUGAAGGUCUUUAAUUGGGAUAUUCUUAUUCUGAGUUGUUGAUAUUAUUACUUGGGGCUGCUACCUUAACUUUAUAAAAUAAGAGCUUGCUAGUCAGGUUUCUCAUUAAAGAUCAUAAAUUUCAUUCGGUUGUGAAAAUUCAUUUGAUAAGAUUGAUUGACACUAAAAAAUGUAUAAUUUAAUAAGGAUAUAAUUAUCAGUUUUUUUUAUUUAUAGUGUCGAUUAAUGUGCUUGUUAUUCCAAAAUUUUCUUAACACUCUCCAAAUAAAUUUUUAUGUUAAUUAAUUUGCAAUGUGUUAAUUUUAUUUUAAUUUUAUAUUGUAAAUAUAUUUCAAGAAUAAAGAAGAGUUGGAACUGCGAGCGGAAAAUAAAGAAGAAUUGUUAAAUCCAUUUGAAAUGUAUUAUUGAGAAGAUGUAAUAAAUUAAAAAAAUUAAAAAAUUAAAAAAAAAGAAGAAAAAGUGAGCAAGCAUGCUCGUGAUGGUCAGGACCAUCACACUUCUCUAUGUACAUAUAUUAUAAAAAAUAAAAUAAAAUAAAAUAAAUAAUAAUAAAAUUAAAAAGAGGAUGCAUUCUUCUCGCCUAUAAAAGGUAAGAGAGCUGAAGGAGAAAGCUGGAGGAAAGCUGAGGAAUUCUUUCUUUCUUUCUUCUCAAAAUUUUUAUUUUUUAUUUUUUUUUAUUUUUUAGUGUAAUCAACUUUCUUGUAAUCUAUUUAAGAAAUUUGUUAAAUAAAAUGAAUGUUUUUUUUUAAUGAGUGGCUAAAUUUUCUGAGUUAAGAUGAAAGGUGAAGCUUAAAAAUUCAAAUUAUUGAAUUAAUUACUUUCCCAAGUAAGUCUUAAAUUUUAUUUUAUUUGUUGUAUUUUUCUUCCUUACCAGUUUCUUUUAUGUCACGUUAAUUUAUAGAUUUAAAUCUCUUCAGAUUUAUAUGGUAUUUUGACAUAAUGUCGAUAUUUCAAUAUAGUUGGGACACAUUAGGUAUUUGGUCCAUACUUAUCACACUAAUAGAUAGUUAAGAAUUAAAUGACAUAAUAAUUAACUGGCAGAAUAAAUGCAAAAUACAAAUAUAAGACAGUGUUAUGAUCAUAAUUUGAAAUCCGAAAGUGGAUCCCAUAAUCUUAGCAUAUUUUUAUAUUGAUUCAUAUUAAUUUAUUUUCCCGCAUUUAAUUUUCAUUGUUUAAUAAAUUAACUAUUAGAUUUUAAAUUUCCUGUAAUUCGACCUUAAAUUCACCGAGUUAUAUUAUAAAUAGACACUCUUCUACUUGAAAAUAAUAACACUUUUGAGUCGUGUCAAAGACUAUUACCAUCUAUGUCAAACUCUCGAUCAGAUCAUAUCAAGUCAUCUAAUUCUAUCAAAUUUUGCUACUAAAACAGCCCCCUGACUAUUGGAAAAGUCACAAAGUUGAAGAAAUGAAAUGGUUUUAGUAAUGCUUAGAUUCAAUUACUUUAUUAAAUAGCAACAGCAAAAAGUAACCAUGGUGAUGAAGGAGCAUAAAUCAAUUUAAGUUUGUGAAAUCAACAACUCAUAAAUCAACUUGAAAUCAAAUGGACAUCAUAUUCAACAACUCAAAUCAAACCCAAGCAGACUUAAAAAAUAAUUUAGGAUUCAGAAAUCAAAACCUUGUACUAACCUGCUGCUGAUGAUUGAAGUAAUGAAGAGCAAGCGGGGGAUGGCGGAGCAGUGGCCAUAGUGUCACGCAACACAGUGAUGGCGUCAAGCGACGAUGAUGCGAUCGAGGGCUGGUACUGGUCUAGGUGAAAUUUGUCGUGAAGGAAUUUUGGUGUGAAAGGUAACAAAUUUUUUAAUUUCUUGUUUUGGGUCUGUAUUGCGAUGCGGUGUAAGCCGCACCCCUCCCUCGAGUUUGGUUUAGGCGGAUUUCAUUUUCACUGCAUUAAUAUGUAAGUUAAUGUAAUGCAGCAUGCGUUGAAUUUGGAGCCAAACAUAAGUUAGUAUUAAGUUAAUACAAAAUAGAAGUUUUAUGUUAUGCUAUGUCGGCUGCCA